ACUUCAGCGCAGUAAAUGAUUUUGUUUUCCCGUUCCUUCAUAGCUGCAAAAAUCAUCAAAUCCACAAUCUUCAAAUCCACGAUCUCAUCUAUAAACCCUAAUAUCCAAAGGAAACAAAAUCAUCUUCUUCAAUUGAAUUCCUUCAAACCCUAAGGAAUCGAACUCAUCUUCCUGCAAUCGAAUCCCUAACCCAUAACCCAUAAAUCAACUUCUCUCCACCAUAUACCCAGUAAAUAAUCUUUAACAAGUCGUACUCGUUUGUCGUCGUGCUCGUCACAACUGGUUCGUGUUGUGCUGUCACAACCCAAACCGUCGUUAUUAAGGUAUAUGCUUAGAAAAUUUAAUUUGCAAAAUUGAUUUAAGUUAGAAGACACUGUUUUUAGGUGUUGGCUAUUUCACUAUGAUUUUUUCAACUAAUAUUAUAUUAGGUGCAGUUUUUCUCCCAAUUUUGUAUCUAUCAUGUUCUGUUUGUGUUGGGUUCUUGUUUUUGGUGUAUCUUAGAUUGUUUGGUUCAGGUGUUUUUUAUGUUGUUUAGCUGGUAUACGGAAUAGAUUUAUGUGCUAGUUGGCUGGUUG
RNAcentral lists this long non-coding RNA (575 nucleotides) under Trifolium pratense (red clover). RNAcentral describes it as "long non-coding RNA (TPRA_LNC011930)". The record is from RNAcentral. Lineage: Eukaryota; Viridiplantae; Streptophyta; Magnoliopsida; Fabales; Fabaceae.